UUAAGUAGCUUUAUACUAUAUAAAGUGUGCUGACCGGAGAUAGUUCUCUUCUCUGGUAGAAAGACAUGGAUGUGUUGCUGUAACAGACAGCAAGACAUUGAGUAAACUUUUUCUUUUCUUUCAUUGGACUACAAAUCGACUAUUGUUAAGGUUCUAAUAAGUUUAGACAUACUUGUUAAUUCUGACCAUGCCUUGCUUAAGGACUGUAUUCAUGAAAUUUGUUUGUUGCAUAUGUUCGUACAUGUUCCUAUCUAAUUUAAUGUUGUCUGAAACUUCUGCCAAUCGACAUAGCACAACAAACUUUAGAAGUAGCUUUCUUCCAUCUGCAAAAGCUGAGAUGGAGAAGGAGAGACACACAAGUUUACAAUUGAAUAAGCUGCUUCCUGAGUGAGAGCUAGAGGCACCAGAUUUACCACUGAAUAAACUGCUCCAUUAGGCAUUGUUUUUCUUUUCUUUCCAAGUGAUUGCUUCUCUUCUCUAGCGUAGUUCUCCAGGGCUCACCAAUUUUGUUAGACUGGACCUGAUUUGUAUAUUUGUAUGCAGAUUUCUCAACACUCGGAUUUAUGGAGUCUAAGGUUUUACAUUUAGGGGACUACGGAUCUUUGGCUUUUGGCGUUGAGAUUGAUGUGCCCCUUGCUAUAUGUAAGUGGUUCUUAUGAUGUUGAUCCUUCUGCUAUGGAUUGUAGUUGGGCUCCAAUGCCAUCGCAUUAAUACUAUUGAUGGCAGUGUCCCUGCUGUUGAGAAACCCAUUACGUCACUUUUGGUGGUAUUUUUGCAUUGCCACUUAUAUAUUGUUUUAUUAUUGUUCUUGUCAAAUAGUUGUAUGCUUGAUAAUUGUUGAUGAUAUCUUAUGGUUGGAAAAGAAAUGUAUUUUUGGGCAAAAUGUCCACAUUCUUACA
Molecule: long non-coding RNA, 899 nt
Filed under: Hordeum vulgare
Lineage: Eukaryota; Viridiplantae; Streptophyta; Magnoliopsida; Poales; Poaceae
Description: long non-coding RNA (HVUL_LNC018241)
Source: RNAcentral